This 253-nucleotide ribosomal RNA is filed under the name uncultured bacterium. RNAcentral describes it as "partial 16S ribosomal RNA". It matches the Rfam family "Bacterial small subunit ribosomal RNA", at positions 524 to 776 of the family's 1533-position model. The record is from RNAcentral.
GACGGAGGAUGCAAGUGUUAUCCGGAAUCACUGGGCGUAAAGCGUCUGUAGGUGGUUUAAUAAGUCAACUGUUAAAUCUUGAGGCUCAACCUCAAAAUCGCAGUCGAAACUAUUAGGCUAGAGUAUAGUAGGGGUAAAGGGAAUUUCCAGUGGAGCGGUGAAAUGCGUAGAGAUUGGAAAGAACACCGAUGGCGAAGGCGACACGCUGGGCCGUACCUGACACUGAUGCGCGACAGCAUGGGGAGCAAACAGG